Paramisgurnus dabryanus is the source of this 1433-nucleotide non-coding RNA. The record is from the annotation of a RefSeq genome assembly. NCBI's taxonomy places the organism in Eukaryota, Metazoa, Chordata, Actinopteri, Cypriniformes, Cobitidae.
UUUUUUUUUACAUGCCAAAUGCUAAAAAAAUGCUGUUACUUGUUAUUGAUCAUAAAGUAAAACUUAAAGUAUCUAUUCAAGUGAAAUUUUGUCUGUGCUCCUGAUGUUCUCCGAGGAGCCCCCUAGUGAAAGUGGAGAAAAUAUACUUCCUUUUAAGCCUUUAUCAUCUUAAGUAAAUGUACACAUACAUGUUUUCAUUUUAAACAUUUUUUUGACCAUCAUAGCACAAAGAUAACACAAGCAAGCAAGCAAGCUUUUAAAAUUCAUUAAAUGGCCAGCAUAGACAAAAUUACAUUGGCUCAAAAAAGGAAAACAUAGAAAAAGUUAAGUGUAAUACCUAACUACACACAAUUGCUGAUGAAUAAUACUUAUUAGCUAAACAUUGUUAAAUAAAAACAACAAUACACAUUAAACAAGCAGAUUUCAGUUUUGUAUCCCUGCUCCUCACAAGAGGCCUCUCAACAGCUGGGAGGCCAAUAUGACUUUCAUGGUCUCAAACUGAAAAGAGGCCCCUAAAACAAUGUACUAUUGCCCAUUAUUAGCUGUUAACUGUUGAGGUUUAGGUAAUGAGAUAAAUCACCGUGUACUAGUUACGCUAAACUAGAAUUUGGAGAAGGGACCAAACUGACUGUUCUGGGUAAGUCUGAAUUGGAUUUUUAAACGUUAUAUUUUUCAAAUGGUUUUGUAAACGCUGUUCAGAAAAUGUGAUUUGUUAAUCUCUGAAAUUCAGUAAGAUGAGUCUUAAUAGCACAAAGAAACAUAGAUGCACAUUGACAUAAAUAAGUUACAAAGUUAGAUUUUCAAAUAUAACUCGUAAUUGUUAGUAGUUUUAUGUAAUUACAUUUAAAGUAUAAUUUAAUUCAAAAAGAAAAACAAAUCUGAAUUCCACUUUCCACCACUUUUCCUUAUUUGUUCUAGCUAGAAAUGUCUCUUUCCCAAAUGUGAACAUACUACCACCCUCUCCACAAGAGAUGUGUGACGAUAAAAAGAAAGAUAAAACAUUAGUUUGUUUAGUCACUGGCUUUUAUCCCGAUCAUGUCAGUGUGACCUGGCAAGUAAACGGUAUGGACAGGAAGGACAAAGUGUCAACUGACCCCAUAGCCCACCAAGACAACGGCACAUUACUUUACCAUAUCAGCAGCAGAAUAAAAGUUAAUGGCACAGACUGGAAGGAUCGGGGAAAUCGAUUUACCUGUAUUGUCCGUUUCUACAAUGGAACACAGUACCUACAUUUCAGACAUACUAUAAAAAGUCCAAGAGGUUUGUUGGAGAUGGACAAUUGUUGCUUUCACUGUAUUGGUGUGAAUUUAAUCACGUUUGUGAUUUUAGUUAAUCAGAAGAUUUUUGGCUUUGGCUACAUCCUUUUUCUUGCCAAGAGCGUGCUGUAUGCUCUGAUCGUGGCUGGUGUUGUGUGGAAACUCAAGAUUCUGUAG